GACGAACGCUGGCGGCGUGCUUAACACAUGCAAGUCGAACGGAAAGGCCCUGCUUUUGUGGGGUGCUCGAGUGGCGAACGGGUGAGUAACACGUGAGUAACCUGCCCUUGACUUUGGGAUAACUUCAGGAAACUGGGGCUAAUACCGGAUAGGAGCUCCUGCUGCAUGGUGGGGGUUGGAAAGUUUCGGCGGUUGGGGAUGGACUCGCGGCUUAUCAGCUUGUUGGUGGGGUAGUGGCUUACCAAGGCUUUGACGGGUAGCCGGCCUGAGAGGGUGACCGGCCACAUUGGGACUGAUAUACGGCCCAGACUCCGACGGGAGGCAGCAGUGGGGAAUAUUGCACAAUGGGCGGAAGCCUGAUGCAGCAACGCCGCGUGCGGGAUGACGGCCUUCGGGUUGUAAACCGCUUUCGCCUGUGACGAAGCGUGAGUGACGGUAAUGGGUAAAGAAGCACCGGCUAACUACGUG
RNAcentral lists this ribosomal RNA (468 nucleotides) under uncultured bacterium. RNAcentral describes it as "partial 16S ribosomal RNA". It matches the Rfam family "Bacterial small subunit ribosomal RNA", at positions 28 to 507 of the family's 1533-position model. The record is from RNAcentral.